This 429-nucleotide ribosomal RNA is filed under the name Chloroflexota bacterium. RNAcentral describes it as "Chloroflexi bacterium partial 16S ribosomal RNA". It matches the Rfam family "Bacterial small subunit ribosomal RNA", at positions 355 to 776 of the family's 1533-position model. The record is from RNAcentral. Lineage: Bacteria; Bacillati; Chloroflexota.
UGGGGAAUAUUGCACAAUGGGCGCAAGCCUGAUGCAGCCAUGCCGCGUGUAUGAAGAAGGCCUUCGGGUUGUAAAGUACUUUCAGCGGGGAGGAAGGGAGUAAAGUUAAUACCUUUGCUCAUUGACGUUACCCGCAGAAGAAGCACCGGCUAACUCCGUGCCAGCAGCCGCGGUAAUACGGAGGGUGCAAGCGUUAAUCGGAAUUACUGGGCGUAAAGCGCACGCAGGCGGUUUGUUAAGUCAGAUGUGAAAUCCCCGGGCUCAACCUGGGAACUGCAUCUGAUACUGUCAAGCUUGAGUCUCGUAGAGGGGGGUAGAAUUCCAGGUGUAGCGGUGAAAUGCGUAGAGAUCUGGAGGAAUACCGGUGGCGAAGGCGGCCCCCUGGACGAAGACUGACGCUCAGGUGCGAAAGCGUGGGGAGCAAACAGG